GACGAACGCUGGCGGCGUGCCUAAUACAUGCAAGUCGAACGCUUCUUUCCUCCCGAGUGCUUGCACUCAAUUGGAAAGAGGAGUGGCGGACGGGUGAGUAACACGUUGGUAACCUACCAAUCAGAGGGGGAUAACACUUGGAAACAGGUGCUAAUACCGCAUAACAGUUUAUGCCGCAUGGCAUAAGAGUGAAAGGCGCAGUCGGGUGUCGCUGACGGGUGGACCCGCGGUGCAUUAGCUAGGUGGUGUGGUAACGGCGCACCAAGGCCACGAUGCCUCGCCGACCCGGGAGGGUGAUCGGCCACACUGGAAUUGAGACACGGCCCAGACUCCUACGGGACGCAGCAGUAGGGAAGCUUCGGCAAUGGACGAAAGUCUGACCGAGCAACGCCGCGUGAGUGAAGAAGGUUUGCGGAUCGUAAAACUCUGUUGUUAGAGAAGAACAAGGACGUUAGUAACUGAACGUCCCCUGACGGUAUCUAACCAGAAAGCCACGGCUAACUACGU
Molecule: ribosomal RNA, 507 nt
Filed under: uncultured bacterium
Lineage: Bacteria
Description: partial 16S ribosomal RNA
Rfam family: Bacterial small subunit ribosomal RNA
Source: RNAcentral